RNAcentral lists this ribosomal RNA (497 nucleotides) under uncultured bacterium. Its description in RNAcentral is "partial 16S ribosomal RNA". It matches the Rfam family "Bacterial small subunit ribosomal RNA", at positions 28 to 507 of the family's 1533-position model. The record is from RNAcentral.
GAUGAACGCUGGCGGCGUGCCUAAUACAUGCAAGUCGAGCGAACAGACGAGGAGCUUGCUCCUCUGACGUUAGCGGCGGACGGGUGAGUAACACGUGGAUAACCUACCUAUAAGACUGGGAUAACUUCGGGAAACCGGAGCUAAUACCGGAUAAUAUAUUGAACCGCAUGGUUCAAUAGUGAAAGACGGUUUUGCUGUCACUUAUAGAUGGAUCCGCGCCGCAUUAGCUAGUUGGUAAGGUAACGGCUUACCAAGGCAACGAUGCGUAGCCGACCUGAGAGGGUGAUCGGCCACACUGGAACUGAGACACGGUCCAGACUCCUACGGGAGGCAGCAGUAGGGAAUCUUCCGCAAUGGGCGAAAGCCUGACGGAGCAACGCCGCGUGAGUGAUGAAGGUCUUCGGAUCGUAAAACUCUGUUAUUAGGGAAGAACAAAUGUGUAAGUAACUAUGCACGUCUUGACGGUACCUAAUCAGAAAGCCAUGGCUAACCACGUG